Molecule: ribosomal RNA, 200 nt
Filed under: uncultured bacterium
Lineage: Bacteria
Description: partial 16S ribosomal RNA
Rfam family: Bacterial small subunit ribosomal RNA
Source: RNAcentral
AGAGUUUGAUCCUGGCUCAGGACGAACGCUGGCGGCGUGCUUAACACAUGCAAGUCGAACGGUGAAGCCCUUCGGGUGGAUCAGUGGCGAACGGGUGAGUAACACGUGGGCAAUCUGCCCCAGAUUCUGGGACAACACCGGGAAACCGGUGCUAAUACCGGAUACGACGCAUCUCCGCAUGGGGUGUGCGUGGAAAGCUC